This 303-nucleotide unclassified non-coding RNA is filed under the name plant metagenome. RNAcentral's name for it is "partial contains 5.8S ribosomal RNA, internal transcribed spacer 2, and large subunit ribosomal RNA". The stretch from base 1 to 105 matches the Rfam family "5.8S ribosomal RNA", at positions 50 to 154 of the family's 154-position model. The record is from RNAcentral.
GAAAUGCGAUAAGUAAUGUGAAUUGCAGAAUUCAGUGAAUCAUCGAAUCUUUGAACGCACAUUGCGCCCGCCAGUAUUCUGGCGGGCAUGCCUGUUCGAGCGUCAUUUCAACCAUCAAGCCCCGGGCUUGUGUUGGGGACCUGCGGCUGCCGCAGGCCCUGAAAAGCAGUGGCGGGCUCGCUGUCACACCGAGCGUAGUAGCAUACAUCUCGCUCUGGGCGUGCUGCGGGUUCCGGCCGUUAAACCACCUUCGUAACCCAAGGUUGACCUCGGAUCAGGUAGGAAGACCCGCCGAACUUAAGC